This is a long non-coding RNA of Leopardus geoffroyi (Geoffroy's cat), 368 nucleotides long. RefSeq lists it as uncharacterized. The transcript is spliced from 3 exons. The record is from RefSeq and is a predicted model, not a curated record. NCBI's taxonomy places the organism in Eukaryota, Metazoa, Chordata, Mammalia, Carnivora, Felidae.
AACAGACACACACAUGCAUACACAUGUACAGAGUGUCCUUUCUCCUCCAGAGACAGGCAGAGCCUGAGCUUGAGAUUGACCGACAGACACAGAGACCCGCAGACUCUCAGAGAUGCACAGAGGGAGGGAGAACGAGAGAGAGGCACCCAGGGAGCGAGAGUCCCAGGGAAUGAGACACACUCCCACGCGCACACACCGUGCGCGCUGGGGCAGACAGAACAGCGCUGCAGCCCGCCCGCCAUAGGCGUCAGAAGCAGCAGGACAGGGAGGCAGAGAAGGCUGGAGGCCCAUGGAAACUAUGCUGGAUUUGAGCCCAGAUCCCAAAUCUCCAGCCUGUUGUCUUCUCACCACCCACAAGUGCAGGGAGG